UAAUAACAUUUGAGGGCUACGGAAGCUG
This 28-nucleotide non-coding RNA is filed under the name Rattus norvegicus (Norway rat). The record is from RNAcentral. Lineage: Eukaryota; Metazoa; Chordata; Mammalia; Rodentia; Muridae.